UUUUUUUGCUGCAUGCGUGCUUUCUUCCUGCUUGGACCCUGAGGCCCAGGAAGUGAGGAUGCGCGCGGAGGUGGGAUUUGCGUCCGUGUCCUUGGCCCGGGCGCACUGGGCAGCGGGACUCAGGGGCUGGCGACCCCCAGCCACCGAGGGCAGCCGCCUGCUGCCGGGCAAAAAAAAACCCCGCCGACCCUCGGGGUUCUCUGGAUCAGUACCACGUGGGCCAGAGUCUUCUGCACGGUCUGGCUCUUAGCAGGUGUCCUGGGGCGUCAUCCACGGCUCACGUGACACCGCUCAUGCCCACCGUAUCCACCGAUUUGGAAAUUUGACCUCAAGCCGUAUUUAUUUUUAUUUCAGAGACUUGAGCACCCCCAUCCCUGGGUCGCUGCCCACAUGCCCGCAGUGUCCAGGGCUUGGCCGCGGAACUCCAUCCAGGUCUCCUACGUGAACGGCGGGGAUCCAGCCACUUCAGCUUCCACGGGCUGCUUCCCAGGGUUCCCGAGGGCAGGAAGCUGGGCUCGGGGACCCAGGGCUGGAACCUGCGCACUGCCACGUGAGAUGCAGGUGUCUUGACCACUAGGCCACACCUGCACCCCGAGGGUUUCUUUGAGAAGCAGUUGAAGCACACAUACCGACUUGUAUUUCAAAAGAGUCGAGGUUCAGGAGCAUAACGAAUUGAGAAACUAGGGAACAGGUGGUAACAUCAGAGUUUGCCACCUGUCGUCACCAGGGUGACUGCAGUACAGUGAGAUGAGGCACAGACCCACUGCUCUUCCUUGCUGGUGUGCAGAGUCGUUGCCCGUCCCAGCAUGCCCCGGGGGCUGGGAAGCAGAUUCCCACUGUGGCACUGGAGGUCACGGGCCACAUCAAGUCCAGGGCCCCUUCACCUGACAGCCACCUUGAAAAUGGCCUGACACCGGGAGACGGAGGGCUCUGGAUGUGGGAGCAGGCCUGGGAGGCUGGCCGAGUCUGGGGAGACUGGGAAGGGGUUUACUUGGUGCCUUGAUGCCUUCCUCCCACUUGCAAAGCGAUGAACCUUCACUCUGCUCCAGAGUCUUCUCACUUGGCAUCUUGCUGGAACUCUGAUUACUCCUUGGGGUUAUGGUUGCGGUGUGGAGCCCUGGGUAUCCUGCAUGCAGACAACAGAUCAGAGUGCCUGGCCUGUUAUGCUGGGAAGGACAUUAGGUGUGGGGUCACUGUUCACGGAAGCCACUGGUCAAGGCCUCUCUUCUCCCCGGAAGUUUUUGCUCAGAGAAGGGCUCACAGCACCGAAGUCGGAAUCAAUGCUUGGGAGCACAGUUUCAUUUUUCCUUGGUGACUUGGCAGGACUGGCAGCCUGGGCUCACCCUUACAGUGUAGCUGGGAAACUAAGAUACUCGGAGUAGCUGCGGAGGACAGGCCCAGUGCAGACACUGGCUACUGCCGGCCUGCCCCCACCCAGUGAAUUCAGUCAGCCUGCACAUCACGAAGCGCGGGUUAGAAAGGCAGAGAGAGAUCUUCCAUCCCUGGUUCACUCCCCAAAUACCUACAACAUCUGGGAUAGGCAAGGCUGAAGCCAGGUGCCUGGAGCUUCGAUCCAGUCUCCUGUGUGGAUGGUGGAGACCCAAGAGGCUGAGCCCAUUACCUGCUGCCUCCCAGGAGCACUUAGCAGGAAGCGGGGCACUAAGCCAAGCUCUCCAGCAUGGGAUGGGGACAGCUUCUUUGCUGCUACGCCAACACCCCGUCCUGCCAGCACUGUUCUGGGUCCCAGUGACGAAGUGACACCUUCUUCCUAGCCUUGCCCUGUGCCUGGGUGUGUCACCUCACCAAGCUUGUCCACAGCGUACGGUGACCUCAGCAAAGUUUGCUCAGUGCUAACUGCUCAGGAGUUGUUUGCAAAGGAGGACAAGCGCAGAUGGCCACCAGGCCAGCGACCGCGGCAGCCUCGUGACUGGCCUCCCUUCGUCCUUCCUGGCGCCACUGCCUUGCCAUGGCCUCCAGGAGCGGGGAAGGCCGUUCUCCAGCCUCCGACUCGCGCUGGGCCACGUGGCUUGCUUUGCUUAACAGCAGUGGGCAGAAGAAAGUGUGUCAGUUUGGAGGCCUUACAAAGCCUCUGGUGUUUACUUCGUGUGCCUUUGUGAGGUUGGCUCACCUGUCCAAGGAGGAGGCAGAUAGAGCUGAGCCAGGCCUGCAGUGAACAGAGCCAGCUGUGAGACUGAACCUGACAGCUGGCUCUGUGUGCAUAACAGGGCGUACCAGCCCCGAGCACCGUGGCGGCCUCCCACACAGCACUGUUGUGGCAGCAGCUAACCAAUAAAUUGCCAAACCUCACCUUUCCACAGAAGUAAACAAAUGAGGUGUGGGAGCUGAGGAAGACCGCAGAGGGCCAUCGAACAACGGCGUUUCUCAAACCCAACAAAGGACCCACCUCAUCCAACAACACUCUCGUAGACUCCCCAUGUGGCCUCUAAGUUAUGCUCAUUAGGUGUGCGUGUAACACCUGGUAGCUAUUUCCAACAUUUAUAGUUCAUGGGCCCACAACACUCACAAUAUUUUUUUUUUUGACAGGCAGAGUAGACAGUGAGAGAGUGAGAGAGAGACAGAGAGAAAGGUCUUCCUUUGCCGUUGGUUCACACUCCAAUGGCCGCCGCGGCCAGCGCGCUGCAGCCGGCGCACGGCACUGAUCCAAUGGCAGGAGCCAGGUGCUUCUCCUGGUCUCCCAUGGGGUGCAGGGCCCAAGCACUUGGGCCACCCUCCACUGCACUUCCCGGGCCACAGCAGAGAGCUGGCCUGGAAGAGGGGCAACCGGGACAGAAUCCGGCGCCCCGACCGGGACUAGAACCUGGUGUGCCGGCGCCACAAGGCGGAGGAUUAGCCUAGUGAGCCGCGGCGCCGGCCACUCACAAUAUUCUAAUCAACGGAACACAGUUCCACAGAAACCAAGUUCUCCUGGACGUGGCGCGACUGUGUCCUUGUACAAGUUUCUCCUACAACUGACAGAGCCGCAGGUUCACAGCGUUCUGGGGGAAGUUGGGUUGCAGUAAACCCAAUUUUUCUGGUUCUGAGUUAUGCCUGGGGGCUGAGCUCUGGGCACAGCAGCCCUCAUUUUUCCCUGGUCUGUCUCGCAAAACCUCAGUUGGGACGAUGGCACACACAAUGCCACCAGGGGGCUUGUGGGUUUUUCCUCACCAGGUCAAACUGCUCAGUCCAGAUCUAUUCAGGAAACAGCACCCGCGCCUCGGUCGUUGCCAAGUGACGGGGGGCAGUCGAGGCCAGGGACCCACGGUGCACUACUCCUUAGAGGUUAAGGAGUGUGAGCAGGAGGUCUCAGGACACCCACGCCUAACAGCAGGCAAGUUGUCAUCAUUGGGCCUGACAGCAGCGAGUCCCACUCGGCUAAGACAGCUCACAGGUGACGGAACAGACUCGGGCACCCGGCAGAGAUGGCCUCCCUGCCAUCUCUAACUGUGGAGAAGGGUGGGGUCAUUUUUGUUGUCCUGUCAGAAGCAAUAGGGAACAAGGAAUGCAUUAAUCAGAGUUGCCACGUCCUCCCAAAAGCAUUCUGGGAUGCUUGGCAGGCUGUCUUCCUGGCCAGAAGCUAGGCUCCUGAAGGCCCAGUCCCUCACGUCUCGGGCGCCCCGACUGCUCCUGUAAGAGCGAUCAGCUGACUGGCAAUCACCAAAACCCGUUCAGCGCCGUUUACAGCAGUGCUGCCACACUUGCCAUCACCCAGAGCUUGACAAAGUCCAAGGAAGUCAGAAUCCCUGGCGGAGAGCCUGAGGCACCUUCCCAGAGGCCUCAGGUUCAGUCCGGGUUAAAGAACCAUUCACUGGUGGACAGUGACAGUGGGGGCAGCGGCUGGCGUGGACACCUGCGGCUGCAGGAAGCAUGCCAGAGAAGCCUCGAUCCUCCCCGCCGUGACCCAGCGCUGGAAAACGCUGCUCCUCUGCUCACACGCGUCAGCUGAUGAGCACAGCUCACCGUGCCAACAGUGUGCAAACCAACACUCAUGCAUGAACCUGUAGGAAGUACAGCAGCGCCCCCAGGUCUGGGGGGUGCCUGACACGCUGGAUAAUGCCGCUCCGCCCAAGGGCCUUCACAGCCUGUGGAGGAGGUGGGCACUUGUUGCAGCAGGCAACGUGACACUUGAGACCCGGAUGUCUGUCCCACGGGAGUGCCGAAGUUCAAGGUGCAGUCCCACUUCCCAUUCCAGCUUCCUGCUAAUGUGUACCCUAAAAGGCAACAGUGAUGGCUCAAGUGCUUGUGACCCUGCCGUCCGCUUGGGGGUCCAGGUUCCAGGAGUCGGACUGCACCAGCCUUGGCUGUGGCAGGUGUUUGGAAGGGGUGAACCAAGAGAUGGAAAGAUCCCUCCGAGUCGGCCUCUCUCUCUCUGCCUUUAAAAUAAAUUUAAAAAUUAUAAAGUUCAUGGAAAAUGCAUAUUCUUGGAUUUCAAAAAAAUUUUUGCACCAAAAUAAACUUUUAAUUCCAUUUUCCCACAAACUUUUUGAAAUGCUCUCAUAUAGCUUAUUUUUUCCUACAAAGUCAAGAACUUUCUCCUUUUCUCUUAAAGACAGCACUUUAUGGCUUCUCUCUAGCAUCACUCUUGUGUUUUGGGACCUUGAGUAAAAUCAAGGCUACUGGAGCACAAGCACUAAGCUACUGCAACAGCCCAUCUGAUAACCGAGACGGCCACUAAGCAACUAGUAGGCAGGCAGUGUACGCAACGUGGAUAAGCUGGACCAAGGCUGACUCAUGGCCCAGGUGCAGGACUGCUGAGAUUUAACUUCGUUUAUUUGAGAUUUGAAUUUUACGGUUAUUUCUGGAUUUGUCCAUUUACUAUUUUUGGACUGCAGUUGGCCACUGAAACUGGCUGCAGUUUGAUUGUAGCUGAACCAUGCAAAGCAAAACCACAGGUAACAGAGGAUUCCUGAGUAUAGAUAAAAUUUUUUCUAAAUUUUUAUUUGAAAGGCAGAGUUGCAGAGAGAGAGGGAGAGAAAGAGCUAGAUCUUCCAUCUACUGCUUCACUCCCCAAAUGGCCACAAUGGCCAGGGCUGGGCCAGGCCAAAGUCAGGAGCCAGGAACUCCAUCCAGGCCUCUCAUGUGGGUGGCAGAGGACCAAGUCCCUGGGCCAUCUUCCAUUUCUUUCCCAGGCGCUUAGCAGGAAGCUGGAUUGGAAAUGGAACAGCCGGGACUCGAACCAGUGCCCACAGGGGAUGAGGACAACCCAGGCAGCAGCUUAACCUGCUGCACCACAACGCCAGCCCCAGGGAUCCUGAUUCGUAAGUCCCGCAGUGAGGUUGCAUUUUAUAAAGAAUCUGGAAAAGUGAACAUUUUACAGACGACAAGGAAGCCUGUCCAGGAAUCCUGCCCCGUGCCAGAGCCCUUGUGCUUCACUGCAAACAAACCACAACAGGCGACUCGGCAGCACAAUCAGUGGCCUUUACUUUAUGAUCUGUAGAAAACCGACAUUCAGGCUUCAAAAUUUAAUUACAAAACCAGCAGCAGCAGUUUCAAGCAUCAACAAAGCUGACCGGUUCCACUCUGCCGACAAACAAGGUUCUUACUCCAUGUUCACCAAGCAAGACCUGGCCGGAGAGAGCCUCAUCGUCAUCCCACGCCGCUCUGCUCAGGAUCCGUUUGUGACCGUGUCUUCCUCCAUCUCUUCUUCAGCAUCAUCAGCGGGCCCUGAAGAAAACCAUAAACCAGAAGUCACGCUAAGGCACGCUAAGUCACAGCUUCUGCACCUGACAUGUGAGAGCCAGGCACGGACAUGGGCAGACAGACGAGGCAGCCCUGCCUCUCGAGGCGCUCAGGCAGGGUGUCUCCUGGACAGGCACUGGGAGGCACGGCCACCUUCUAAGGAGAGGGCACAAGGGUGUCUUACAGAAGUCCAAACCUUCGUCUCUCAGCGCAGCUGACACACGUUUGUACAUGGACAGAGAAAGGUCACACCUGAGUUUUAUUCUUGCCACCACCACGGGCAAACAAACCGCAGCAAGCACUACAAGCCCGCUUCACUUGUUCAACAGUUACGGCCAGCGUGCGGCCAGUCACUCCUGUCCACUGCUGGGGAGAUCGCGCGGUAACGGGCGCUGCUUCUACGGCUAGACCCAAAGACCCAAACCUCACUUCUAGUUGGAAACUACCAAGAAGCAAGCCCGCAAGGAAGCGCUGCUCGGCCCAGGCCUGAGACCCAGCAGUGGGCAGCAGGAGCGACUUCCCAGUCUCUUCUCCCUCCUGUGCUCCGGUUCCUAUUGCAGCCCCAGCUGCCGCGUUCUGCGGGAAAUCAUUACGUCAGGAACCAGUCACACCACUGUCACAAAGCGCCGCUCUCAAACGGCCCCUCCCAGCUUCUGUCACCACGGAGCCCUGCGAGCCUCGCCCCAUCCCACGGCUGUGGUGCGCUGCGUGGGCGCCCUCUGCCGUCCGUCUCAUCUGGCCGCGUUCUCCCCGAGCGUCAUUCACUACGGCCCCUUUCAAGCUCAGCUGCGCCUCAUUUUUACCAUGGGGCUUUUGGUCGUGCAGUUCCCUGUUCAGAAGUGUCUCUCUACCUUCGCCUAGACCAGCAGUUCUCAAACUUUUUAGUGUUAGGCCCUAGGGGCUUUUGUUUAUGCAUACCAGAUUUAUGGACACUGUUAGAAAUGAAAACUGUGAUCUUUUUCUUUAAAAAAAAAAAAAAAACACACUGAAACAAUCUACUACAUAUUUUCAUUAAAAAUGUUAUUUUCCAAAACAC
Oryctolagus cuniculus (rabbit) is the source of this 6712-nucleotide non-coding RNA. The record is from RefSeq and is a predicted model, not a curated record. Lineage: Eukaryota; Metazoa; Chordata; Mammalia; Lagomorpha; Leporidae.